UCUUGGUCAAUUUAGAGGAAGUAAAAGUCGUAACAAGGUUUCCGUAGGUGAACCUGCGGAAGGAUCAUUAGUGAAUAAACAAGUGCAGGUUGUGCUGGCCUUCUUGGUAUGUGCACGCCUGCCAAAGUUUCAUUCCAUCUUCCCACCUGUGCACUCUGUGUAGAUUCUGUAUGCUGUUGUCAAGCUCUAUUGUGCUUGGUUGAGAGGAGUUGCUUGUUUUCACAAACAAGCUCUUCUUGGGCAUGCAGGUCUAUGUUUAAAUCAACACCAUAUGAAUGUUUUAGAAUGUGUUUUAGGCUUUUGGCCUUUAAAUUAUAUACAACUUUCAACAACGGAUCUCUUGGCUCUCGCAUCGAUGAAGAACGCAGCGAAAUGCGAUAAGUAAUGUGAAUUGCAGAAUUCAGUGAAUCAUCGAAUCUUUGAACGCACCUUGCGCUCCUUGGUAUUCCGAGGAGCAUGCCUGUUUGAGUGUCAUUAAAUUCUCAAUCCCUACAACCUUGUGUUGUUUGGUGAUUGGAUUAUGGGGGUUUGCUGGCCUCGUUCAGCUCCCCUGAAAAGCAUUAGCAGGACAUUAUGCCAUCUGUGCUUUGUAUGAUAUUUAUCUAUACACUGUACCUAUUGUGCACAACUGCUUCUAACUGUCACUUCUGACAUUUGACCAAUUUGACCUCAAAUCAGGUAGGACUACCCGCUGAACUUAAGCAUAUCAAUA
Molecule: ribosomal RNA, 712 nt
Filed under: Pluteus exilis
Lineage: Eukaryota; Fungi; Basidiomycota; Agaricomycetes; Agaricales; Pluteaceae
Description: eukaryotic LSU rRNA
Rfam family: 5.8S ribosomal RNA (bases 321-474)
Source: RNAcentral